GGAGCAGUAACUCAGUGGUAGAGUGCACGAUUGCAAAUUUGACUGACGAUAUCGUGAUGUCCCGUGUUCGAACCACGGUUGCUCCU
Molecule: non-coding RNA, 86 nt
Organism: Mycena metata
Lineage: Eukaryota; Fungi; Basidiomycota; Agaricomycetes; Agaricales; Mycenaceae
Source: the annotation of a GenBank genome assembly